This 516-nucleotide ribosomal RNA is filed under the name uncultured bacterium. RNAcentral describes it as "partial 16S ribosomal RNA". It matches the Rfam family "Bacterial small subunit ribosomal RNA", at positions 28 to 523 of the family's 1533-position model. The record is from RNAcentral.
GAUGAACGCUGGCGGCGUGCCUAAUACAUGCAAGUCGAGCGAAUGGAUUAAGAGCUUGCUCUUAUGAAGUUAGCGGCGGACGGGUGAGUAACACGUGGGUAACCUGCCCAUAAGACUGGGAAUAACUCCGGGAAACCGGGGCUAAUACCGGAUAACAUUUUGAAACGCAUGGUUCGAAAGUGAAAGGCGGCUUCGGCUGUCACUUAUGGAUGGACCCGGCUCGCAGUAGCAAGUUGGUGAGGUAACGGCUGACCAAGGCAACGGUGCGUAGCCAACCUGAGAGGGUGAUCUGCCACACUGGGACUGAGACACGGCCCAGACUCCUACGGGAGGCAGCAGUAGGGAAUCUUCCGCAAUGGACGAAAGUCUGACGGAGCAACGCCGCGUGAGUGAUGAAGGCUUUCGGGUCGUAAAACUCUGUUGUUAGGGAAGAACAAGUGCUAGUUGAAUAAGCUGGCACCUUGACGGUACCUAACCAGAAAGCCACGGCUAACUACGUGCCAGCAGCCGCGGUAA